AUUGAACGCUGGCGGCAGGCCUAACACAUGCAAGUCGAGCGGUAGAGAGGUGCUUGCAUCUCUUGAGAGCGGCGGACGGGUGAGUAAUGCCUAGGAAUCUGCCUAGUGGUGGGGGAUAACGUUCGGAAACGGACGCUAAUACCGCAUACGUCCUACGGGAGAAAGCGGGGGAUCUUCGGACCUCGCGCCAUUAGAUGAGCCUAGGUCGGAUUAGCUAGUUGGUGAGGUAAUGGCUCACCAAGGCGACGAUCCGUAACUGGUCUGAGAGGAUGAUCAGUCACACUGGAACUGAGACACGGUCCAGACUCCUACGGGAGGCAGCAGUGGGGAAUAUUGGACAAUGGGCGAAAGCCUGAUCCAGCCAUGCCGCGUGUGUGAAGAAGGUCUUCGGAUUGCAAAGCACUUUAAGUUGGGAGGAAGGGUAGUAACCUAAUACGUUGCUACUUUGACGUUACGACAGAAUAAGCACCGGCUAACUUCGUGCCAGCA
Molecule: ribosomal RNA, 489 nt
Filed under: uncultured bacterium
Lineage: Bacteria
Description: bacterial SSU rRNA
Rfam family: Bacterial small subunit ribosomal RNA
Source: RNAcentral